CUGGUGCCAGCAGCCGCGGUAAUUCCAGCUCCAAUAGCGUAUAUUAAAGUUGUUGCAGUUAAAAGCUCGUAGUUGAAUUUCGGGAUCAGCAAGUUGGUCGUGCCUCUGGUACGUACUGGCUUUACUGGUUCCUCCUUCUUGAAGAACUGUAAUGUCAUUAAUUUGAUGUUGCAGGGAAACAGGACUGUUACUUUGAAAAAAUUAGAGUGUUUAAAGCAAGCUAACGCUUGAAUACAUUAGCAUGGAAUAAUGAAAUAGGACGUUUGAUCCUAUUUUGUUGGUUUCUAGGGAUUGACGUAAUGAUUAAUAGGGAUAGUUGGGGGCAUUAGUAUUCAAUUGUCAGAGGUGAAAUUCUUGGAUUUAUUGAAGACUAACUACUGCGAAAGCAUUUGCCAAGGAUGUUUUCAUUAAUCAAGAACGAAAGUUAGGGGGAUCGAAGACGAUCAGAUACCGUCGUGGUCUUAACCAUAAACUAUGCCGACUAGGGGAUCGGAUGAUGUUAAUUUUUUAAUGACUCAUUCGGCGCCUUACG
Molecule: ribosomal RNA, 532 nt
Filed under: uncultured Glomus
Lineage: Eukaryota; Fungi; Glomeromycota; Glomeromycetes; Glomerales; Glomeraceae
Description: SSU rRNA
Rfam family: Eukaryotic small subunit ribosomal RNA
Source: RNAcentral